RNAcentral lists this ribosomal RNA (468 nucleotides) under uncultured bacterium. Its description in RNAcentral is "partial 16S ribosomal RNA". It matches the Rfam family "Bacterial small subunit ribosomal RNA", at positions 28 to 507 of the family's 1533-position model. The record is from RNAcentral.
GACGAACGCUGGCGGCGGGCUUAACACAUGCAAGUCGAACGGAAAGGCCCUGCUUUUGUGGGGUGCUCGAGUGGCGAACGGGUGAGUAACACGUGAGUAACCUGCCCUUGACUUUGGGAUGACUUCAGGAAACUGGGGCUAAUACCGGAUAGGAGCUCCUGCUGCAUGGAGGGGGUUGGAAAGUUUCGGCGGUUGGGGAUGGACUCGCGGCUUAUCAGCUUGUUGGUGGGGUAGUGGCUUACCCAGGCUUUGACGGGUAGCCGGCCUGAGAGGGUGACCGGCCACAUUGGGACUGAGAGACGGACCAGACGCCAACGGGGGGCAGCAGUGGGGAAUAUUGUACAAUGGGCGGAAGCCUGAUGCAGCAACGCCGCGUGCGGGAUGACGGCCCUCGGGUUGUAAACCGCUUUCGCCUGUGACGAAGCGUGAGUGACGGUAAUGGGUAAAGAAGCACCGGCUAACUACGUG